GAUCAUCAUCUUUUCCUCCACUAAACUCUUUGGCGCCCGUCUUCAGUAUUUCCUUCAUUGGAUCACCAUGCGAUACAUUCAGAGUUUGAACAGGAAGGGUAGGAAUUGUUGGUUGAGCCGAAUUAUUCUGUGCUUGUGGGGGUGGUGGUCAAGCGACACCCAUGAAACGAUCAAACCAUCUCCCUAUCAUAUCUAACAGUGCAUCUCAAACGUCGGCCUGAUCAUCACCUUGAUCCCCUGAUGAACGAGGACCACUACAUUGGUGGAGGGGAGCAUUACUUUCUAUCUCUUCAUCUAUUGCAUAUCUCAAACUAAAUGAAAUCAGAGAUAACUAUACAACACAAAACCCAAUUAAUAAUUUUUAACAUUAACCGAAUU
This 378-nucleotide long non-coding RNA is filed under the name Gossypium barbadense (sea-island cotton). RNAcentral describes it as "long non-coding RNA (GBAR_LNC015531)". The record is from RNAcentral. Lineage: Eukaryota; Viridiplantae; Streptophyta; Magnoliopsida; Malvales; Malvaceae.